RNAcentral lists this ribosomal RNA (484 nucleotides) under uncultured bacterium. Its description in RNAcentral is "partial 16S ribosomal RNA". It matches the Rfam family "Bacterial small subunit ribosomal RNA", at positions 30 to 507 of the family's 1533-position model. The record is from RNAcentral.
AUUGAACGCUGGCGGCAUGCUUUACACAUGCAAGUCGAACGGCAGCGCGGUCUUCGGCCUGGCGGCGCGUGGCGAACGGGUGUGUAAUACAUCGGAAUGUGCCCAGUAGUGGGGGAUAGCUCCGCGAAAGCACGAUUAAUAACGCAUACGACCUGCUCGUGAUAGCUGGGGAUCUUCGGACCUCGCGCUAUUGGAGCGACCGAUGGCCGUUUAGCUAGUUGGUGGGGUAAAGACCUACCAAGGCGACUAUCUGUAGCUGGUCUGAUCGGAAGACCGGCCACACGGGAACGGGAACACGCCCCAUACUCCUACGGGAGGCAGCAGAGGGGAAUUUUGGACAAUGGUGGAAGGCCUUGCCCAACAAGCCCACGUGUGUGAUGAAGACGUCGGGGUUGUAAAGCACUUUUUGCGGGAACGAAAAGUACUGGGCCGAUACCACGGGUCGGUGACGGUACCCGAAAAAGAAGCACCGGCUAACUACGUG